This is a small nucleolar RNA of Rattus norvegicus (Norway rat), 138 nucleotides long. Ensembl annotates it as small nucleolar RNA SNORA48. The record is from Ensembl. NCBI's taxonomy places the organism in Eukaryota, Metazoa, Chordata, Mammalia, Rodentia, Muridae.
CUCCCCUGGCACUGGACAGAGACAAUCUGUGGUGAUGUUCUUCUAUCAGCCAAUGGUGGAGCAGAUGGCAGUCCUUUGUUCAUGCUAGCUUGAUGCCUGGCUUGGUGGCCAAAGCCGUUUCAUGCCUAGGACUCAUAA